CAGCUUGAAAGUUAGUAAUUAUCUGAUUAAUGACCAUCUCACAAAGGGCUUCUUCUCCAGGAUGAUGAGUGUAAGUGUAUCUGGACUCAAGGGGAAGAUUCUAACCUGCUGCUACAUGAAUAGUGAAAUAUUUAAAAUUGGAUGUACGGAGUGGGAAGAUUGGAUGAUGCUGUGGCAACAUUUUGUUAAGUACCAGAAUCCCGGAGAAAUCACUCGAAGCACGUUAUCCGAAGAACAGAUGGUCGGUGUCCCUCCUGAUCUGAAGGUAUUUCUGGCUGUCAUGUGCUUAUUCUAUAAAUAAGCCCCACUGAGAGGCAGUGGAAGUGAGCUAGGUAAAGAUAGUAACAAUGAUGACAGAGAACUAGAUGGUUGGAUGGCAUCACCAACUCAAUGGACAUGAAUUUGGGCAAGCUCUGGGAGAUGGUAAAAGACAAGGAAGCCUGGCGUGCUACAGUCCAUGGGGUUGCAAAGAGUCGGACGCGACUGAGUAACUGAAAACAACAGCCAAAGAUAAUAUAACACCUAUGGAGACCGACUUGAGAGAUGCACAGAAAAGCUUUCCGGUUACCUACAUUUCACAAGGAGGAUGAUUCCAUUGGAAAGGGAGGAAGCUCAGGACUUUCUGCUCAGUUUUAAUUUUUCUUUUUUAACAUAUAAGACUGUGCUGAGUCUUCUUCAGAUGCUGGAAAGAAGUCGAAGAAGAUUAUACUCACCCUACUUACCACAGUUAUGCUGCUGCUUAUGAACCAGGAUCUACCAUAAAAGAGUAAAUCCUGAUUACUGUUCUCAAAGUGCUCAUAUUGAGAAGGAAAGGCUGACACACAGCUAGAUAAUUGUGACUGAUUUGACCCUGUGAAAUGAAAAUAUCUCCUGCCAUAUUAAUAAACAAGAAAGGUCACAGCCA
Bos indicus x Bos taurus (hybrid cattle) is the source of this 904-nucleotide long non-coding RNA. The record is from Ensembl. NCBI's taxonomy places the organism in Eukaryota, Metazoa, Chordata, Mammalia, Artiodactyla, Bovidae.